AUUUAUGUAGUUUAAUUAUAAAACAUAUCAUUUUCAAUGAUAAAAUAAAUAAAAUUUCAUAAAUU
RNAcentral lists this transfer RNA (65 nucleotides) under Corythucha ciliata (sycamore lace bug). RNAcentral's name for it is "tRNA-Glu". The record is from RNAcentral. Lineage: Eukaryota; Metazoa; Arthropoda; Insecta; Hemiptera; Tingidae.